UUUUAAUUUUAAUUUCCUAAUUUAUAUGAUUUUUUAUUUUUUGCUGUACAGAAUGUUUGUUGAUACGUGUAAGAGAAUUAGAUUGAUGAAGAGCACGGAGGCUAUAGGAUUAGCUCCAAGAACACCUGGGAGAUCGUCGAGUUGAAGCUAAAUAAAGAAGCUUAAUAACUGCAUGUACAGAUACCAACUGGCUUGAGUGAAUAAGUUUUUUUAUUUUUACCUUUUGCGUUCUUUAAUUAUAGGAUAAGUAAUAUAUAAUUAGGCAAUUACUUAGAAGUGUAUUUUGUGCUACGAUGCUUCCCGUGUGAGUGAAGACGAUUGAUUUUAUUAAUACUGUAUUUGUAUUUUUAUUUGUAUGUUUUUGUCGUUACGAUUGUAGAUCUCAAUAUGAAUAAAGCCACUUGGGGAAAAAAAAUCAAAUCCUUUUGUACGAUUUGUGAAAGGAGGGUGAAAAU
Molecule: unclassified non-coding RNA, 455 nt
Filed under: Hevea brasiliensis (rubber tree)
Lineage: Eukaryota; Viridiplantae; Streptophyta; Magnoliopsida; Malpighiales; Euphorbiaceae
Source: RNAcentral